AGCUUAUUUCUAGAUGAAAAUGGGCACUGUCCCUCAUGGUGUCCAGAAAUUGUGAAUGUGGUUAACUGAGACGGGAGGCGCUUCCAUCACAGCAAGAUGACCGCAGGGGUGACCACGAGGCCAUAACAUCC
Molecule: non-coding RNA, 131 nt
Organism: Canis lupus familiaris (dog)
Lineage: Eukaryota; Metazoa; Chordata; Mammalia; Carnivora; Canidae
Source: Rfam